This 253-nucleotide ribosomal RNA is filed under the name uncultured bacterium. Its description in RNAcentral is "partial 16S ribosomal RNA". It matches the Rfam family "Bacterial small subunit ribosomal RNA", at positions 524 to 776 of the family's 1533-position model. The record is from RNAcentral.
GACAGAGGGUGCAAACGUUGCUCGGAAUUACUGGGCGUAAAGCGCGUGUAGGUGGCUUGGUGUGUCAGAUGUGAAAUCCCUGGGCUCAACCCAGGAACUGCACCUGAAACUACCAGUCUUGAGUGGUGGAGAGGGAAGUGGAAUUCCUGGUGUAGAGGUGAAAUUCGUAGAUAUCAGGAGGAACACCAGUGGCGAAGGCGGCUUCCUGGACACCAACUGACGCUGAGACGCGAAAGCGUGGGGAGCAAACAGG